GGUGUCAUGUACACAACUAUUUUUUUUUAAACAUAAACCUUAGCAUUAACAUUACAUACGGAUUGUUUGAUCUCAAAAACAAUGAAGAGGCUACAGUCUAGAAAAGAUUACAUGGACAUCUUACGCGCUAUAGAAACGCCGAGUUAAAAAGAGAAAACAUAGGGAACAUAGAACACAAAAUAGUUUUGAAACUUCUGAUUGUUGCAUGGGUGGAGCGUAGUAAGCAGGGAGUACGAAAGCUACAUGGGUGGAAGUUGACUCUCCAUCCACACAACACUCCCAUGUGGUCAGCCACACAACAUUACGUCCCCAGCUCGCUCCUCCAUGGCUUACCCGUCCACAACUCACCCGACCACAGCUCGUCCGUACACAUCUCACGUUACAAUAGUUCACCAAUCCGCAGCUCACCCGACCACAUGUCACCCAACUACAACUCACCCAUCCACAGGUCACCAGCCCACAACUCUCCUAUCCACAUGUCACCAGCCCAGAACUCAAUCAUCUUUCAAUGGGAUUUGUGGGAGGCGGUGGUCGGUUUGUUGUUUCCUACAAGAACAUGAAAAGGUUGUCUGGAAGAUUACGAAGAAAAUCAAAAGUUUCCUUGUAUUAUUCAUGAAACUAGAACCAAAAACUUAACUGAAUGUUGAAACUACCAGAUCUCAAAAUCGAAAAAAAAACAGGAUACAUUGAAACUAUCAAAUCUGGGAUUUUUAUGUAAAAAUUGAAACUUCCACUGACUCACAGAUUUGAAGAGUUUUAAUAGAUGUAAAAAUCGAAAACUAACAGAUCUUGUAGGUUGGUGUCAGAACACAGAAAAAAAGUGUGGGUUUCGAAGUAACAAACCUCGCAUGUGGGAAAAAAAUGACUGUGUACUCUACUCGAUGGUGAGAUUCAGAUGGUGUUGAGUAGCGUGUGAGAUGGAGGUUUGUGACGAAAAUCAAGAAAUAAGAUUUAGAAGGUGAGGACGAUGAUAGAGGAACUAGAGUUCUUAAUUUCCGCCGCACAAAGUUUUUUUCUCUCUCAAAAAAAAGCUUGUGAUUCAAAAUGAGGAAAUAUGAGAAUUUAGGAUUUUGAACUUGGUAUAGGGUGAGGUUGGUAUGGUUAGGUUUAGGCUAAUAGAAGUCCGGUUUGGUUUUCUUUAUUAUAAGGGCAUCAAUGUCUUUGACUAGCAAAUAAGGUUGCUUCAAGUGCAAAGUGCCUUACGGUAAAAUACGAAACUCAAAAAGUGUCUUGGGAAGUAAAAAAUUCAAUCUAUAUAGCUUGACCCCAAUAAGCUUUUUCAUUAUUAUUUAUAUAUCUGAAUGAUCCAAUUGUGUAAGAUGAACUACAAAAUAUAAGUAGUUUUAAAUGUUAUUUACUUUUUCAUCACAAGUCAAUAAAACAUAAUGAAAAUAUACCAAAUGACCCAUAUAGAACCAUUUUAGACUAUGCAGAAAUACUCGUUGAGAGACCAAUUAUAACUUGAUAUAUUAAUAUUAUGAAGUAAUUAUCAUGUAACCCUACACCAUUUCUUAAUAUCUAGACAUGUAUGAGUUUAUGGCAGGCGACACAUUCAAUUAAUUUGUCUUGGUAGUUAAUUCAAUUAUAGGGAGACUGGAUGGCAUGUUCAAUAGGUGUUCACAAUUCAUCUUCUCAAAAUUAUUAUUACCUUCAAAUCAUAUGUUCAAUCAUUCGUUGGUGCAACAAUUCACUCCUUUGUUUUUCCAUAAUCCUAAUGAACACUGUACAUUUGUUUUAUUUAUAACUUUUAGGUGCAGCAAAACCUGUAUCUUCUACGAUGGAAACUUUUUUCCUUUACCUAAUGUAUAUAUUCAAUAUGUUUCAUUAUAAGUGUCCUUUAAAGUUUUUGCAUACGAAUUAAAAAAUAAUAACUAAAUGUUCUGUUUACCCUUUUUUAUUACAUGAUUUUGUUUGAUUUUAUUAAUUAUUAGCUAAGAGUAAUGUUAAAAACUGGGAAAAACAUUUAAUAUUUACAUUGAAAAUGUAAAAUAACAUUAUUUAUAAUGAAACAAAAUUUAAAAGGUAAAACGAUAUUUAAUAUGAAACAGAUAAAAUAUUAAACAAAAAAAUAUCAUGUGUUAUGUUAUUAGUUUUUUUUGUAUAGAGAAAAAAAUUGAAUUAGUAUAUUUUGUAACGAGUCUGAUUUUACAAAUUAUGAAUGAUGGGUCCAAGCCUUGUUUGGACUUUUGUUAUUAUCAUCUGUAAACAUUAGUACAAAAACCAAUCAUAAGCGUUUUUCACAUGGAAGCUGCUCCUCAAUCAUGUCUGAAUUUUGGAUCCAUAUAUAUACACAAAUACAUAUUUUAAAAUUUAACUAAACAAUGUUCAUUAAUUUAAUAUAUAUCUCAAGUAUGAAGACAUCAUACGUAAACACACAUGUUUUCUCUAGCCUAUUUUUACAUGACAUUUUACUUUAAACCCAAAAAUUGAUAUUUUCAAUAUCUAUCGUUUUCAAUGAGUUUUCGUAAAAUUCUUUGUACACAGUUACAUCUACAUCAGCUAAAUUCAUACUACUACACCUUAGAUGUUUAGUUGAUGAUUGGAUAUUAGGAAUGCUGGCACUCAACUAAAAUUAGGAUUUAUAUGUAUAUACGUAUUACAUUUUUCAACUUUUUCUUCCAAUUCUUUUAUUUACUUAUAGUUCCGACGGUCUGACCAAUCAAUAAAAUAUCUGUUGUGGUCAUCUUUGGAUCAUUGAUUGAUCACAAUCAUUAACGAACAUAAUAGGAAGAUUGGAUUCAAAUAAAAAGAUAAUAAUAAAAAUUAGAAAAAAUUAGAAAAAUAAGAAACCAAUUCGAUAAGUUUUUUGGGCUUCCAACUUAAAACCAAUUGGCAAUUAGUGGAUUGACCCAAGUCCCUUAUAUAUUACUCAAGUCUCUUUCAUAUAUCUGAUGUGGGAUCUUCUCUCCAAUACCCUCCCUCGAGAUAAUGGUGCGUAUAACCAUUAAUCUCGCAGAAUCCAUCAUACCCCCUCCGAAAUCAUGCUUUAUUUUUCUAGCGAUCUCGGCGGAACUGAGCUUUCUAUGGACCAUCAGCUAAUGGGAUGAUCGGGCCACUGUCCGGGCCGGAUUAAUGGGUCAGGGUAUUGGAACCUGGCUCUGAUACCAUGAUAAGUUUUUUGGGCUUCCAACUUAAAACCAAUUGGCAAUUAGUGGAUUGACCCAAGUCCCUUAUAUAUUACUCAAGUCUCUUUCAUAUAUCUGAUGUGGGAUCUUCUCUCCAAUACAAUUGGUAGUAGUAGUAGUAGGGUGGUAAAAAAUGCUUGGAGCAAGAUGUAAACUCGUUGGCUUUGGCUUCAAAUUCUAUUAAAAACUAAGUUAUUUUUGCUCAGACGAAAAUAGAACCAUGUCUUCGGCCUCAUUAGAAAACUAGGCACCAAAAUAGUAUGCGGUGUUGACUCUCUUUGGAGAUUAGUUGGGGUUUCGUCCUAAAUACCCUAAAAAAAGUAGAAAAACUGAAAAAGAGAAAAUAGAUUGGUCUAUUGUACUAGUAAUAUUAGAAAACAACUACUAGGUUGGUCCUUAUUGCAGACAGCAACCAAGCUAACCAACUCAAGCUUAAAAAAGAUGAAAAAUAAAGAGAGAGGAUUGGGUUUGAAUGUCCGUUCCGAUUUUUUAUUAGGUCACUGCAGAAUUGAGAUGUGUGUUUCAGGUUUUGAAGGGACUACGCGACUCAUAUUUUCUAUGGGUGGAUUUGAUGUUGGAUAAUAUAACAUCCAUGGAGAUGAUAGUUCCUUUUUUUUUAACACAUGGAGAUGAUAAUUUAACCCCGAGAAAAGUCUAGAUACUGAAACUUGCUAGACAAGAGCCAAUGUGUGAUCCGUAUGUUUGAAGUGUUUUGUCCAUUCUGUUAGAAUCUCGCCCACUGCUAUUGUUGGAGCGAUUGCAAGAAAUGUGACUAGAGAUGAGAGAAUUCAUUUCUAUAUAUAUGGUACUUGGAGACUCGGCGUUGUUUCUUAAUCAAAUGUGGGAUAAAGCUGGACUGGAAGCUGGUGAUUGGUGUCCUCAUAUAUUUUCUAUUCGCAUUGUUUGUUAGCCUCUGAUGAUUUUUUUUUGGUAGGCACUAUUUUAUGGUUCUUUAAGACUUUGUAACUUCGGUUUCCUUUGAAUAUAUUGGUGGAAGUUAACACAAAAAGUAUAGACUUCCUACUCUUUUAAGAAAAUGUUAUACUAUAUACUAUAUUCACCAAUAUCAAUUGAAGUUCAGGGGUUGAGUCCAAAAUUUAAAGGUAGGCUUGUGUAGAUAAAAUGUUUCUUGUACGAUUUGCGUGAUGAAUUCAGUGGGAAGAACAGAAAAUUGAGCCAACUCAAUAAAACUCCAAAGAAGACCGGAUUACUCUAGUAUGCCUAGCUUGUCAGAGUAAAAUAAUACAAAAAUAUACUUAGGGUUUAACUGGUAACCAUCGUAAAAAUAUUGAUAACAGAUAGGAAAAGAAAGACAACAAUAAAAUUGUAGGAACAAUGAAGAAUGAUUAUUUCUUAUCGUAUUUAGUGAAGAACAAAUUUAUUUUAUAUUUCUCUAAAAUAAAAGGAAUGAGAAAGAAUGGAAAGAAAAAACUAUUCUUUGUGAAUGGUAAAUUUAUUUAGAAAUAUUAAAGGAUACAUUGUUCAUCUUCAUUACUUGGUCACCAUACACACCCUUAUAAGAUUACUUACAGAUAAAUGCAAGUCUGAUAUAACUUUAUAAGUUAUAAUUCUAGCUAUUGCUGGAGUCGGGUUUCACCCUGCUACAGGUCCGGUCCAAGAUCUCAAUCUGAAUAUAUAAAGCUCAAAUCAAGCACCAUCAAAGCUCAAGAAGGAACCAUACGCCCACGAAGGUCAAUGUCCACCUCGGGCCAAAAGAGUCUAACACUCCGAGCUCGGAGAGUCAAAGCAUAACGUAAAAACAUUGAAGACAUUAAAACCACCAUAAGACACUUGAUCCACGCCAGAGAUCAUGUCGCCAUUACGAUACGCCUCAAAAGACAUAUAAAAGAAGGAUGACAUGCCAAGAAAAGGGAUAUGAUUAUCUCCAUAGCUAAAUUAUAGUCUCAAUACAUUCAUACUCUCUUGUCUUUAGAUAUCUUUUGUAUUCAUCGUUUAUUCUCGAUAUUAUAGUCAAUAACACAUUCAUUUUUCAUAGUUGAUCAGAACUGAGACUUUCCUUUUUAGAUAAUUUUUCAGCAAGUCAAAGAAAACGUAAACUAUACUUGUGAGUGAAUUUUAAGAUAACAGCUAUGUGUAUUAGUGUUAAUCUAAGAAAAAACAUCGAGAGAAAAUAUCACAUAUCCAACAAAAGAUACAUAUCUUAUUAGGAGAUAAAUAGCGAAAAUUUAAAUAGUAGUAUUGUUCAUUUACCUAGAAUCAUAUUUUUUUACAAAACAACUCCAAAGCAUACAAUAUCAUGGUAUAAAUUAUUUUAUGAAAUGGUUUCAAAACAUAUUUUUACUCCCAAACUAGCACAUAAGAGUAAAAGUGAUCAAAAUAAACUUUAUUAAAAGGUAAAAGACAAUUAUACAUUUUUCUACAGCUAUAUUAAAUAAAUAAAUAUUUAAAUAAAAGCUUUUCCAUUUUUAUUUUCAAAACCUUUUUCCAAGCUUAUUUCUGAAAGAUUUUUUUGAAUUUCUUUUUAAAAAUAUUUUAAGAAACAGUUUAACUUUUUAAAAAAGUUUAGGAAUACUUUCUAAAAUGGGUAAUAUCUUCAUGUUUUUUGAGUUAUAUGCAUAUUUAGAAAAACAUUACUCAAUAAAUAUAAUAUAUUUUUAAAUUUUAGGAACAAAUAUUUAUAUCUUCAUGGAUUUUGAGUUAUAUGCAUAUUUAGGAAAGUAUUACUCAACAAGUAUAAUACAUUUUAAAAUUUUAGAAAAUAUUGAUAAAUAUAUAUAAUAUCUUCAUAUUUAUGAGAAAAAUUCAUCAAUGUAUAUUUAAAAUACAUUAUUAAAUUUAUAUUUAGGAAAACUUUCAUUAAUAUAUUUAUGAAUAUCUUGCUGAAUUUGAAUUAUAUUUAUAUUGAAAAAGAUAUCUUACUGAAUUUAAAAAUAUCUUACUUAUUUGGUAAGGUGUUUUUGAAUAUGUAUAACAUCUUCCUAAGAUUUUAGAAAUACCUUCCUAAUUUGAUGUCUAAAUUUAUUAAGAUACUAUACAUAUUUAAAUAUCAGUAUGAGUCAAAUUCAAUAAGAUAUCAUAUAUACAUUAAGGAAGACAUUCCAAAACGUACAUACAAGUUACAGUAAAAAAUAUAUAAUUUCAUGUUUAUGAAUGCAUUCCUGAAUGUGGGGAAUUUUUUUAAAAAACAAUAUAUCAUACACAUUCAUGAAAGUAUUUUUUAAACCUUUUUGAAGAAAAAUGUUUCCGAAAUAACGGAAUUUUUUUUUAUAAAUUAAUUUUUAUUUUAUUUUUUCAAUUUUAUUGUUUGAUUUUUUUAAUAUUUGAUAAAUAUAUAGAUUUUUAUUCGUACUUUUAAAGCGCGAAAAUAUGUUUUGGUAAAGUUUUAAUUUAAUAAAGUUAACGAAAUUCAUUUCUUUCAUUUUUUUUAUAUUUGUGAACUGAUUUGAUUUAUAUCAUUUGGAAUAUUAUUGUAGAUUUGAAAAUUAAUUUAUUGUUUAAGUUUAAAUUUUGACUUAUCACAGUUCUGUUAAAUUUCAUCAUGAAUUAUUAAUUUAAAAUUUGUAAAAAAGUAUAAUAUUUUAAUUCGUACUAAUGAUAUCAAUUAUCUUUAUUAAUGAGUAUAGGUUUAUCUUAACAACUAUGUGAUAUAAUUCUAAUAAUUUCAUUUAUGAAAAUUUAUUGAUUUUAUAUUUUUUUAAAAAUCCUUUAAAGUAAUCGAGUUCAAAUGAGAUUUUAUUUUAAAUAAAUACAAUCUCCCAUUUAAAAAAAAUACAAAUAGAUAAGCCCGUUUAAUUAAUUUACUUUUUUUACUACAAAUAAUUUGAUAUGUUUAACCCAUAAAAACUACUUCUACUAGUUUAAAUUUUAUAUUUACAAAAUCCUGAUAUAUAUGAUAUCUUUAAUUCAUGGUAUUCCAAUUUUUUGUUUAUUUAAGAAAUUAUGAUUUAUUAAAUAUCUAAUAUUAUUUUAUUUGAGAAAUAUAAUGUGGUAUCGAUUUUGUUGUUAAAAGUUAUUAUAUAUAUGAUAAGUUUCAAUAUUAUAUGAAAAUACAAUUUUUUUAAAAAUAAACUGCAUCCAGUUUUUUUUAUAUUUAAGAAAUCAUUUUAUCAAAAAUUAGAAAUAACAGAAUUUUGACAAUGUAUUUAGAGGAGUAUAUUCAUAUGCUAAACUCUAAAGGUUUCAAAAGUUUGUUAGUAAAUUUUUAAGUUGCAGGAUUUUAUGAAAAUGCAAUUUUAAAAAUAAAAAUUUACAUUUUUUUAUAUUUAAGAAGCUAUUUUAUCAGAUAAUUUUAGUAUUAAAUAAUAUUUGACACUAUGUUUUGGUAAUAUAUUCAAAAUUUUGACAGAUUUAAAAUAGUUUAUUAAAAUUUAUUAAGUUACAUGAUUCUAUUGAAAUAUAAUAUUAGAACGAAUAUAUAAUAGGAUUUCUAGUUAUUCUAUAUACAUUUGCAAUUUUAGAUUAAGUCUUAUAAACAUAUUAAUGAGGUUUUGCCGCAUUUGUUUUUGAUGGAAGCAUAUAUUCAAUUAGUGAAAUUAAGUAUGUAUUAGUGAUUGACAAACAUGUUUAAAUUAAUACAUAAUGAUGCAUAUACAGCAAAAUAGCACAUACAAAUAAUUUUGGAGGGAAAUUACAUGUUUACCACUUUCAUGGUACUACUUUUCAUUUUUACCACCACUAAAAAGACAUUUUCAAAAAUACAUUCUUCAUUAAGUAGCAAAAGACUUUUAUGUUCUUGUUAUUCAUAUAUAUAAUAAAUCAUUAUUUAAAUAAAAAAAAAAAAAAAAAAAAAAAACAGAAAAAGUAAUUUUUUAUGUUUUCGAAUUAUACUUUUUCAAAUUCAAACUUUUUGUAAAUUUCAUUUUUUGAAAUUUUUUUUUUCAAAUUUUUAUUUUAUUUUUUUCAAAUUUCUUUUUGAAAAACGAAAAUUAUGUUUGAAACCAUUUUUAAAAUUUUUUUAUAUAUUUUUAAGUAUUUAUUUAUAUAUUUAUUAGAAUCCUAAAUUUCACAUUCCAAAAACUCUACCCCACCCCUUAACGCUAAACCCUAAGUCUAGAUUAGUUAACAUUAAGGGUACAAUUAUCUUUUACCCUUCAUUAAAAGUGUGGGUAAAAGUGGUUAGUGUAAACAUGAAAAGUGGUACUAUGAAUGUGCUAUUUGUGGCAAUUUCCCAAUAAUUUGGUUUAAGCAUAUUCAUAAUAAAAUAUGGGCAAUCCUCUCAAAUAUAAAUUUUUAAGUUUUUGUCACAAAAAUAGACCUCAAAAACUAAAUUACCAAAAUAGCAUUUUUUAUUUGAAAAUUUUAAAUUUUAAAUUUUAAAAAAUUUAAAAUCCUAUCCCUUAAACCUCACUCCUCAACUCUAAACCCUAAACUCUAAACAAACUCUAAACCUUAAACUCCACCUCUUAACUUUAAACCCUAAUAUCUAGAUUAGUUAACCCUAUGAGUAUAAGUGUAUAUUUAUUUCUUUUGAUAAACCAUGUAAAUCUAUUUUGGUCAUUUUUGUUUUUAAAAUAUAUAUUUGUGAUAAAAACUUUUUUUAAGUCUAUCCUAAAGAAUUUUUCAUAAAAUACUAACGUGUUAAAAAACAUUAAAUACACAAGUUUCAAAUUAAGAUCAAUGCUCAUAAUUGAGAUUGCACGAAAAAUUUAUUUCAGUACCAUGUGAAUAUAUGUUAAUCUAUGUACAAUUUCUUACCUGAUAUGGUACAUAAUGAUGUAAAUCAAUAUUUGGUUUAAUAGUUACUAGAACUUGACCUGCGCCCCCGCGCGGAUGCUUGAUUUAAUUUUUGUUUAACAUAAAAUCAUAAACCACUGGUUUGAUAAAAAAAAUUCAUACAUAUAGAAUAGAAUAUAUUAUUUUAUAAUAUAGAUGUUUGAUAAUAUUUUUAUUUAUUUAUACAUAAUAUUAUAUUAUUUUUUAUAACUUAAUACAAUUUGAUGUAAUUGUACUAUUCAUAUAUUGAUCUGUUGUUUUUUGUGAAUUUAUUUUCAAAAGAAAAAAACAUACCUAAAAUUUUAAUUUUUGCAUUGUUUUCUAUGAAUUAUCUUUAAUUUUAUGAUAUUUUAUUUUCUUGAAAAUUGAACUCUCGAAUUUUUUAUAUUUGAUUAAACUAAAUAAAGUAAUGCUAUAUUUAAAAUUCUUUUAUAUAAUAUAUACUAUAUAUUUCAGUUGUGUUUUUAUUUUCACUAUAAAGAAACAACAACUAUUGUAAUUAAUUAUUUUAAAUUGAUUUUAAAUGUAGUGGCAUAAUCUGUAAAUAAAAAAUGCAAAAAGGAAAUAUGUCAUUUAUUAUAAAUGUAAUGAUUAAAUGUGUAAAUAAAAGAAAGUAAUAAAUUUACUAUCAAUGUUUCCAAACAAUUCUCAUUUAUUUUUUUAUCCUUGUUUCCAAACAGUACAAAAGGUACUUAAGUUUUAAUAAUAUAGAUUAUUUAUUAAUAUAUGGCAUAUUUGAUAAUAUCAAAAUUUAAAUUUGUAAGAUUUUGUGUGUCCCACACAUUUAGUCAAUAUUUGGUUUAAUAGUUAUUGUCUACCACACGUUACCAAAUUAUCUCAAUAUUAAAUUCUAUUAAUAUCUAAAUGGCACUCCUGUAAAUAAUAAAGCAUAUCAGUGAGAUAUCAAAAAAAAUCUUAUGUUUUAAUAGCAUAUAUACUAAAUAAAAUUAUAAUUUAAAAUAUAUUUUUAUUUAUCUUUUGAAUAGAACUUAACUGUCACGUUGAUCGUGGAACCUAUUUAUAGAAUAAAAAAAUUAUUUAAGAGACUUGCCUUUAUUUUAUUUUCUUACAAUAUAAUAUAUUAUUAUUGAAAUCAGAAUUUUCAUAUAUUGAUUUUAGGUUUUGAAAGAAUCUGGAAACUUCAACAAUUUUUAAGAAAUCAAUUAUUCUAUCAAUACUAUUAAAACUGAAGGGCCUUUUUUGAGGUACCCUUAGAGUUUUGAAGUAUUUACCAUUCUUUGCCACUGAAUUAUUUUUAAUCUAUGAUUUCAAUUAAAUUUUGUAUUUUUGAAUUUUAUUUUAAUUAAAAGCAGAAAAUCCUUUUGUUUAAAAAUCAUUCAUAAAACGUUCAAACAAACUUCAGUUGCUAUAAUUUAGUUAUUGAAAUGGAUACAUGAUAUGUGCAGAAAUCACGAUACCCAAAUUGUAUGUUUAAUCAACAAUAUCUCUUAACUUCCAUGUUAAAAGGAAUGUUGUUAUUUUGAAAAAUUAAUAGCUUAAUGUAGUUGACCACAAUAUAUGCAAACUUCACGAUUUAAGAUUUAAUUGACCACCAUAGCUGACCAUCAUAUCUGACCACCACGGUUAAUAUGCUUCACCAUUUAGUUUUUAGCAAAAUUAUUAACUUAACGUAGUUGACCACUAUAAUUGUAUAGUUCUAUAAAAUAUUAAUGAAAUAUUAAUUACUGGUAAUAUUUAUACACACGUUAGAAAAUAAUAAUAUAAAACUAUUAAUUUAUAACAAAACACUAGAUUUCCAAACGCGGGUUUUUGGGAUUAUAUUAUAAUACAAAGUUUUAUUAUAUCGAAAAAUAUAAUUUUUAACAGUUAUAUAAUCUAUGAAUUAGUUUAUUUGAUAUUUUAUAUGUACACUUUUACGUAAGUUUUUUUUAGGCAUGAAAAUUAUAUCCGGAUCAAAAAAACAAACCAAACCGACCCGGAAAUAUAGGUUUAGUUCCAGAGAAGAUAACCUAUUGGGAUUUUUUUGGACCCGCAUGUCUUUGUUUGAGUCCGGGUCCUACCCUAGACCCGAUCAUAAAUAUGUUGUGUUUAUUUGGUAUAUUUAGAUAUUUUGAAUAUGUUUCCGGCAUUAUGAAUAUUUUUUAAGGUUUUUGGUUUACGAUUAUAGUUUUUAAUUUCAGGUAAAUUUUCAAAUUAAUUUUUUUUUUGGGUAUUUGGAUAAAAUUUUGGAUAUUUUCAGUUCAGUGUCAGAUUUUGAAUAAGAUUUUGAAUUUUUAGGUAUUUGAAUUUUUUGGGUAUUUGUUUGGAGUUUCAAGUACUUUUCGUGUUUCGGAUAUUUUUCAGAUUUUCUAGAUAUUUCGAAUCUUUUUAGGAUCCUAAAUACCUGAACAGAUGUGGACUCAUUACGUCCAUAUCGGGUCCAACAACCUUUUGAUAUAGAUUUUUAACGUAAUUGUACAAAAACAUGGUUGAUGAAAUAUAUUUUAGAAAACUCAUUUUUAAAUAUGAAAAUAUCUAUCAAACUAUAGACGGUUGAAAGUUUAGUAUAUAA
RNAcentral lists this long non-coding RNA (11310 nucleotides) under Brassica rapa (field mustard). RNAcentral describes it as "long non-coding RNA (BRAP_LNC007134)". Lineage: Eukaryota; Viridiplantae; Streptophyta; Magnoliopsida; Brassicales; Brassicaceae. The record is from RNAcentral.